GUUUUACUAAUUUAAAUAAAAUGUUAGUUUUGUAAACUAAAUAUAGGAUUAACCUGUAAAACU
This 63-nucleotide transfer RNA is filed under the name unidentified. RNAcentral describes it as "Paradorydium reflexana tRNA-Thr". The record is from RNAcentral.